AUUGAACGCUGGCGGCAUGCCUUACACAUGCAAGUCGAACGGUAACGCGGGGCAACCUGGCGACGAGUGGCGAACGGGUGAGUAAAGCAUCGGAACGUGCCCAGUAGUGGGGGAUAGCCCGGCGAAAGCCGGAUUAAUACCGCAUACGACCUAAGGGUGAAAGGGGGGGAUCGCAAGACCUCUCGCUAUUGGAGCGGCCGAUGUCAGAUUAGCUAGUUGGUGGGGUAAAAGCUCACCAAGGCGACGAUCUGUAGCUGGUCUGAGAGGACGACCGGCCACACUGGGACGGAGACACGGCCCAGACUCCUACGGGAGGCAGCAGUGGGGAAUUUUGGACAAUGGACGAAAGUCUGAUCCAGCCAUGCCGCGUGCGGGAAGAAGGCCCUCGGGUUGUAAACUGCUUUUGUACGGAACGAAAAGGUCUCUCUUAAUACGGGGGGCUCAUGACGGUACCGUAAGAAUAAGCACCGGCUAACUACGUGCCAGCCGCCGCCGUAA
This 498-nucleotide ribosomal RNA is filed under the name uncultured bacterium. Its description in RNAcentral is "partial 16S ribosomal RNA". It matches the Rfam family "Bacterial small subunit ribosomal RNA", at positions 29 to 523 of the family's 1533-position model. The record is from RNAcentral.